This 119-nucleotide ribosomal RNA is filed under the name Pteropus alecto (black flying fox). The record is from RNAcentral. Lineage: Eukaryota; Metazoa; Chordata; Mammalia; Chiroptera; Pteropodidae.
GUCUGUGGCCACGCCGCCCUGAACAAGCCCCGUCCCGGCUGAUCUUGGAAGCUAAGCAGGGUCGGGCCUAGUUAGUACUUGGAUGGGAGACCACUUAGGAAGACCAGGUGCUGUAAAUG